AGAGUUUGAUCAUGGCUCAGAGCGAACGCUGGCGGCGUGCUUAACACAUGCAAGUCGAACGUGAAAGGGGGCAACCCCGAGUAAAGUGGCGUACGGGUGAAUAAUACGUAGGCAAUCUACCUGAGAGUCUGGAAUAACCUGCCGAAAGGCGGGCUAAUACUGGAUAGAGCGACGGAAUCCGUAAUUGGGUUUUUCGGGAAAGGGAGGUCGUAAGAUCCCUUGCUCUCAGAUGGGCCUGCGUCCCAUCAGCUAGUUGGCGAGGUAACGGCUCACCAAGGCGAUGACGGGUAGCUGGUCUGAGAGGAUGAUCAGCCACACUGGAACUGAAACACGGUCCAGACUCCUACGGGAGGCAGCAGAGGAGGAUCAUUCGCAAUGGGCGAAAGCCUGACGGUGCGACGCCGCGUGAGGGAUGAAGGCCUUCGGGUUGUAAACCUCUGUCAGGAGUUAUGAACGGCGGGGGCGCUAAUAUCGCCUCCGCGUGACCAAGGCUCCAAAGGAAGCCACGGCUAACUACGUGCCAGCAGCCGCGGUAAUACGUAGGUGGCAAGCGUUACUCGGAAUCACUGGGCAUAAAGGGCGUGUAGGCGGACGUGUAAGUCCGGUGUAAAAGCCCCCGGCUCAACCGGGGAAGGCCAUCGGAGACUGCGCGUCUCGAGUGCGGGAGGGGAGAGUGGAACUCUUGGUGGAGCGGUGAAAUGCGUAGAUAUCAAGAGGAACGCCGGUGGCGAAAGCGGCUCUCUGGCCCGUUACUGACGCUGAGGCGCGAAAGCUAGGGGAGCAAACGGGGAU
RNAcentral lists this ribosomal RNA (792 nucleotides) under uncultured bacterium. Its description in RNAcentral is "bacterial SSU rRNA". It matches the Rfam family "Bacterial small subunit ribosomal RNA", at positions 8 to 779 of the family's 1533-position model. The record is from RNAcentral.